RNAcentral lists this ribosomal RNA (483 nucleotides) under uncultured bacterium. RNAcentral describes it as "bacterial SSU rRNA". It matches the Rfam family "Bacterial small subunit ribosomal RNA", at positions 30 to 507 of the family's 1533-position model. The record is from RNAcentral.
AUUGAACGCUGGCGGCAUGCCUUACACAUGCAAGUCGAACGGCAGCACGGGAGCAAUCCUGGUGGCGAGUGGCGAACGGGUGAGUAAUAUAUCGGAACGUGCCCAGUCGUGGGGGAUAACGUAGCGAAAGCUACGCUAAUACCGCAUACGAUCUAUGGAUGAAAGCGGGGGAUCGCAAGACCUCGCGCGAUUGGAGCGGCCGAUAUCAGAUUAGGUAGUUGGUGAGGUAAAGGCCUACCAAGGCGACGAUCCAUAGCUGGUCUGAGAGGAUGAUCAGCCACACUGGGACUGAGACACGGCCCAGACUCCUACGGGAGGCAGCAGUGGGGAAUAUUGGACAAUGGGCGAAAGCCUGAUCCAGCAAUGCCGCGUGAGUGAUGAAGGCCUUAGGGUUGUAAACUGCUUUGUACGGAACGAAACGGUGAGCUCUAAUACAGUUUGCUAAUGACGGUACCGUAAGAAUAAGCACCGGCUAACUACGUG